This 3928-nucleotide long non-coding RNA is filed under the name Olea europaea subsp. europaea. The record is from RNAcentral. Lineage: Eukaryota; Viridiplantae; Streptophyta; Magnoliopsida; Lamiales; Oleaceae.
GCUCUAUUAAGGAGGAUGAUGUAAAGAGUAGGAGUUGGGAUUUUGAGGAUCCGCAAGUGUAACAAUACGAUGGGAUUUAGAGGCUCCGCAAGUGGAACGGGCAAUUUUUCUAUCACUGUCCAGUUGCAGAACACAACUUUCGACGACGUCUUCAAUCUUCCGGAGAGGUGAGUUAAACUCUCAUUUUUUGGGGAAGUGCAAUGAGGUCGUAAAAAUUUGUUGUUUGAAGGAGACUUCAAAAACCACCUUGGCUCCUCUACCUUUUGCCAUAUAAAGUCCUAUAUAAUGCAUCAGUUCCUAAACCGAAGUGAAGACAACACAAUAAGAAGAUUAAAGCUACCCAGAUUGGGAAAUAACUGAAAAAUUGCCAAGGAAUGGCGGAAUAUUUUUGAUGUACACAAUCUUAAUCAUAAUUAAUCCAUUAAAUAUAUAAACUAACAUAAUUGAAUACCGUGUGAAAAUGAUAUUGCAGAAAACCGUCAGGAAGCAAUUUAUGUUCUCUGUUUUCAUGUAAUGAGGAUGCCAUUAAAAACAAAGAAUUAUCAGUUCACCAUCAUGACACACUGAUGCUGUAGAGUUUUGUAAUGUAGUAAAUAAAAAAACUUUUGUUAUAUUAACCUAUGAGAUUUUAACUUCCCUUUUUCUGUAAUAUCGUAACUCAUCUUGCCAAACAGAUCAAUUUUAAAAAAUGCAAAUGUCGGACAGUAUUACAUUUUGUACUAGAAUAAUAUAAUAUGUAAACUAAACAUCAUUCUGAGCCUUCUGGUAUGGGGCAAUCUUAAUUUGAUUGAUAAUAUGGGACCAAUGCUUUAUAUAUUGUCUCAAAAUCAAGUCUAAUUUUUAGUAUUAAAGUAUGGGAAAAUGGUAUUCCAGUUGUUUUACAACCAAAUUGCGUGCAGGAUUAUUCCAAGAAAUGAUAAUACAAUGUAUAUGUGUUGACAUACAUUAUUGCUUAUUUGAUCAGGUAAUUGGUAUAUGUGUUGACAUACAUUAUUGCUUAUUUGCUUGCAGUGUGGGAAAUUAUGGAACAUGUGAAUGAUGAAACUUUUUCGGAGUUCGAUAAUGAUAAUGUGGCAGAGAAUACCAACCGGGUGGAAGAAGAAACAUUAGGACACAAUGGGCUAAUUGUGCCUGAGGUGGGUAUGAUUUUCAAUGGUGAGGAUGAAUUGCUUGACUUCUACAAGAGAUAUGCCUAUGAUGUUAGUUUUCCAGUUCGGAAAAGAAACUCAAAAAAGGGAGACAAUGGACAAUUGAAAUAUUUGACCUUGACGUGUAGUUGUGAGGGCUGAAGAACGAGCAAUGCAAGAGGUUCUUUAAAUCCACAACCACUCAGUCGGACAGAUUGUAAAGCACGGAUAUCUGCUUCUUCAGAUAGUCACGGUAUGUGAAAAAUUAACACAAUCCACCUUGAUCAUAAUCAUAGAACCAGCCCUUCCAAGUCAAGGUUAUAUCGAUGCAACAGAGAGUUGAAUGUAAAUGUGAAACGAAGACUUGAAGCGAAUGACUUGGCAGGAAUUCCGUUACACAAAAGUUUUAACUCUGCAGUUUUUGAAGCUGGGGGAUAUGAGAAUAUGAGGUAUCUGGAAAAAGACUGUCGAAAUUAUAUUGAACAAGUGAGGCGAUUGCGACUGAGAGAAGGAGAUGUGGCAGCAAUACGUGUUAUUUUUCAAAAAUGCAGGUACAGUACAAUGGUUUUUACUUCAGUAUGGAUAUAGACGAUGAGUCUCGCCUGAAAAAUGUCUUCUGGUCUGAUAGUAGGUGUAGGCAGGCAUACAUGGAGUUUGGCGACGUCUUCACAUUCGACACAACUUAUCUCAUUAACAAAUAUGGCAUGCCAUUCGCACCUUUUGUUGGUGUGAAUCAUCACAGUCAAUCAACAUUAUUUGGUUGUGGGUUGUUAUCGAACGAGAAUACAAAUACCUUUGUAAGACUGUUUAGGACGUGGCUCGAGUGCAUGCACGGUAAAGCUCCGCAUGGAAUAAUUACCGAUUAGGAUAGAGCCAUGCAGAAUGCUAUUGAGAUCGUUUUCCCAGAUACAAAACAUAGGUGGUGUUUGUGGCACAUUUUGAAGAAGUUGUCGGAGAAGUUUGGCUACCAUGUUGAUAAAGCUUCCAUAUUUUCGGCUAUACAUCACCUGGUGUGUGAUUCACAAAAUAUCAAAGAAUUUGAGGCAUGUUGGAAAGAGAUGAUACAGACGUAUGAGUUGACAGAUAAUGAAUGGUUGUCGGGGUUGUAUGUUAAUAGAAGUCGAUGGGUUCCUUCCUUUUUGAAAAUGACUUUCUGGGCAGGGAUGUCCACAAUGCAACGUAGUGAGAGUAUGAAUGCGUUCUUCGAUGGUUAUGUCCAUUCAAAGACAUUACUGAAACAGUUUGUGGAGCAAUAUGAAAGAGCACUAAGAAGUAAGGUUGAAAAGGAGUUCUAGGCGGAUUUCAGGUCGUAUUCGCAGAUUGUACCAUGUGCUACGAAUUAUGAUAUUGAAAAGCAUUUUCAGUUAAUCUAUAGCAUAUUGAAAUUCAGGAAGAUUCAAGAAGAAUUCAAGGGGAAGGUCUAUUGUGACCUCAUACCUGUGUCAGAGGGAUCUUCUGGAACCACAUAUGAAGUACAUGAGGAUGUCCUUUAUCAAGAGCAGCGGAAGAAGAAAUCUUUUUUGUCUCGUUUCAGAGACAGACGUCCGAGUUUAUAUGUAGCUGCCACUUGUUCGAGUUUCGUGGUAUUAUUUGCAGACAUAUGAUUGCAGUAUUAAUUCGUAACGCUGUCACACAGUUGCCUAAGCAUUAUACCCUGCGAAGAUGGAGAAGAGAUGUCAGUAGAGCUUACAUGAGGGUUGUGGUGAAUUAUGCUGGUCUUGUCAAUGUUCCUAGACAAUUAAGGUACGACAGUAUGGUCCAUGCUUUUGCAGAGUGGCUGACCUUGCUGUAGAUGACGAAUCGGACACGUGCGAUAUUGGACUUGAUAAAAUUGCAAGCGAAAGAGAUGAAGUCAACAAAAUCUUAUUCUGGAAGGAAUAUCGUUUCAUUGCAAACGGCGCAUUUAUCCGCUCAGUGUCCUCCUUCAUAGACUUCUGCGGACGAGAUCAUACGAGAUCCGAAUGUGGUAAAGAAAAAGGGUGCACCCCGAAGGCUUCGGCGGAAAAGUCCAUUGGAGUUAACGUCAAAGAAAUCGGGGGUUUGUUCUUGUAUUCGUGUCUCUAUGAUUCGGUAAUCCUAAAUUUGUAUUCUAGUGUAAUUUCGUUGUACAUGUAGGCAAGUUCGACAUCACACAAAGGAAAGAGACCGCGAGCGAGGCACAGAAAUAGUGACAUGGCUGGACCUACCUUUGUGGCUUCACAGGAACAUAAUUCCCCGCACAUUCACUUCUCUUAUCCACAGCCGUUGUUGGUGAGUGCCUUCAUUAAAUUAACAUUUAUUGUGCUCUGUGUUACUGAAGUUCUUUUUUAUGCGGGGCAAUACCGAAAGUCAUGCGUUCACGCCACACUUGCCAACGUCUACUAUAACCCCACCGCUGUCAACAAGUGUCACAUUCAAUCCGCAAGGUGACGAUGAGGAUAAUUCAUUACAUUUCCGUACUCUUCAACUACAUGUACUAAUUUUUGUAUUGUUUGACAAGUCAUCCGUUUCCGUACUACUAUGCACACAUUCCACCACAAGAUGGUCCGACCUCAUGAAUGUGUGGAAGGCUUCAACUGCGACAAAUGGGUUAACGGAUGUUCAAGGUUUAGUGGGCCGUACAAGUGGUUUUGAUGGCCAAAAUGAAGAACAUUAAAUGUAUGUACAAGUGGUUUUGCUAGCCAACUCCAACUCAUGAAAAAACAUAAGUCUUGUAUGUGUUUGUUAUUAUAUCGUGACAUGUUUUAGGGCUUAGGGUAGUACCUGGUGGAUUUUAUGGCAUGUCUUGGUUAAGCAGUUUUGUGACAGGUUUUACACUUUUG